RNAcentral lists this transfer RNA (76 nucleotides) under Rossellomorea vietnamensis. Its description in RNAcentral is "Bacillus vietnamensis tRNA-Phe". It matches the Rfam family "tRNA". Rfam says of the family: Transfer RNA (tRNA) molecules are approximately 80 nucleotides in length. Their secondary structure includes four short double-helical elements and three loops (D, anti-codon, and T loops). The record is from RNAcentral. RNAcentral also lists the same sequence under 4 other names. Lineage: Bacteria; Bacillati; Bacillota; Bacilli; Caryophanales; Bacillaceae.
GGCUCAGUAGCUCAGUUGGUAGAGCAAUGGACUGAAAAUCCAUGUGUCGGCGGUUCGAUUCCGUCCUGAGCCAUCA